This 854-nucleotide ribosomal RNA is filed under the name uncultured archaeon. RNAcentral's name for it is "bacterial SSU rRNA". It matches the Rfam family "Archaeal small subunit ribosomal RNA", at positions 17 to 879 of the family's 1478-position model. The record is from RNAcentral.
CCAGAGGUCACUGCUAUCGGGGUUCGAUUAAGCCAUGCGAGUCGAGAGGGUUCGGCCCUCGGCGUACUGCUCAGUAACACGUGGAUAACCUGACCUGAGGAAGGGGAUACCCCCGGGAAACUGGGGAUAAUACCCUAUAGGUUACCGAUGCUGGAAUGCUCGGUAACUCAAAGUUCCGGCGCCUCAGGAUGGAUCUGCGGCCGAUUAGGUUGUUGUUGGGGUAAUGGCCCAACAAGCCGAUAAUCGGUACGGGUUGUGGGAGCAAGAGCCCGGAGUUGGAUUCUGAGACACGAAUCCAGGCCCUACGGGGCGCAGCAGGCGCGAAAACUUUACAAUGCGGGCAACCGUGAUAAGGGAACCUCGAGUGCCUGUAUAUGCAGGCUGUCCAGGUGUCUAAAACACACCUGAAGAAAGGGCCGGGCAAGACCGGUGCCAGCCGCCGCGGUAAUACCGGCGGCUCGAGUGGUGGCCACUUUUAUUGGGCUUAAAGCGUUCGUAGCUGGGUUGUUAAGUCUCUUGGGAAAUCCGGCGGCUCAACCGUCGGGCGUCUAAGAGAUACUGGCGAUCUUGGAACCGGGAGAGGUGAGGGGUACUUCGGGGGUAGGAGUGAAAUCCUGUAAUCCUCGAGGGACCACCUGUGGCGAAGGCGCCUCACCAGAACGGCUUCGACAGUGAGGGACGAAAGCUGGGGGAGCAAACCGGAUUAGAUACCCGGGUAGUCCCAGCCGUAAACGAUGUGCGUUAGGUGUAUCGAUGACCACGAGUCAUCGAGGUGCCGAAGGGAAACCGUGAAACGUACCGCCUGGGAAGUACGGUCGCAAGGCUGAAACUUAAAGGAAUUGGCGGGGGAGCAC